GUCUACUUGGAGGUUGUGCCCUUGAGGCGUGGCUUCCGGAGCUAACGCGUUAAGUAGACCGCCUGGGGAGUACGGCCGCAAGGUUAAAACUCAAAUGAAUUGACGGGGGCCCGCACAAGCGGUGGAGCAUGUGGUUUAAUUCGAUGCAACGCGAAGAACCUUACCUGGUCUUGACAUCCACAGAAGAAUCCAGAGAUGGAUUUGUGCCUUCGGGAACUGUGAGACAGGUGCUGCAUGGCUGUCGUCAGCUCGUGUUGUGAAAUGUUGGGUUAAGUCCCGCAACGAGCGCAACCCUUAUCCUUUGUUGCCAGCGGUUAGGCCGGGAACUCAAAGGAGACUGCCAGUGAUAAACUGGAGGAAGGUGGGGAUGACGUCAAGUCAUCAUGGCCCUUACGACCAGGGCUACACACGUGCUACAAUGGCGCAUACAAAGAGAAGCGACCUCGCGAGAGCAAGCGGACCUCAUAAAGUGCGUCGUAGUCCGGAUUGGAGUCUGCAACUCGACUCCAUGAAGUCGGAAUCGCUAGUAAUCGUGGAUCAGAAUGCCACGGUGAAUACGUUCCCGGGCCUUGUACACACCGCCCGUCACACCAUGGGAGUGGGUUGCAAAAGAAGUAGGUAGCUUAACCUUCGGGAGGGCGCUUACCACUUUGUGAUUCAUGACUGGGGUGAAGUCGUAACAAGGUAACCGUAGGGGAACCUGCGGUUGGA
RNAcentral lists this ribosomal RNA (711 nucleotides) under Salmonella enterica subsp. enterica serovar Enteritidis. Its description in RNAcentral is "bacterial SSU rRNA". It matches the Rfam family "Bacterial small subunit ribosomal RNA", at positions 811 to 1522 of the family's 1533-position model. The record is from RNAcentral. Lineage: Bacteria; Pseudomonadati; Pseudomonadota; Gammaproteobacteria; Enterobacterales; Enterobacteriaceae.